GUCGAGAAUAAUUCACAAUGGACGAAAGUCUGAUGGUGCAACGCCGCGUGGAGGAUGACGGUCUUCGGAUUGUAAACUCCUGUCAUCCGGGAGUAAGACCUGGCUGUGAAUAGCAGACAGGGUUGAUAGUACCGGAAGAGGAAGGGACGGCUAACUUCGUGCCAGCAGCCGCGGUAAUACGAAGGUCCCGAGCGUUGUUCGGAAUCACUGGGCGUAAAGGGAGCGUAGGCGGCGUGGUAAGUCAGAUGUGAAAUCCCGGGGCUCAACCCCGGAACUGCAUCCGAUACUGCCGUGCUAGAGGAUUGGAGAGGUAGCUGGAAUUCUUGGUGUAGCAGUGAAAUGCGUGGAGAUCAAGAGGAACACUCGUGGCGAAAGCGAGCUACUGGACAAUAUCUGACGCUGAGGCUCGAAGGCCAGGGUAGCGAAAGGGAUUAGAUACCCUAGUAGUCC
This 450-nucleotide ribosomal RNA is filed under the name uncultured bacterium. RNAcentral's name for it is "bacterial SSU rRNA". It matches the Rfam family "Bacterial small subunit ribosomal RNA", at positions 354 to 796 of the family's 1533-position model. The record is from RNAcentral.